RNAcentral lists this ribosomal RNA (171 nucleotides) under Scomberoides commersonnianus (Talang queenfish). Its description in RNAcentral is "partial 12S rRNA". Lineage: Eukaryota; Metazoa; Chordata; Actinopteri; Carangiformes; Carangidae. The record is from RNAcentral.
CACCGCGGUUAGACGAGCAGGCCCAAGUUGAUAAUUCACGGCGCAAAGGGUGGUUAGGGAAAACAAAAACUAAAGUCGAACUAGCUCAUUACUGUGAUAAGCCUAUAUGAUAAAAUGAAGCCCACCCACGAAAGUGACUUUAUUACCCCUGAACCCACGAAAGCUAAGAAA